Long non-coding RNA from Bradysia coprophila, 256 nucleotides. The record is from RefSeq and is a predicted model, not a curated record. NCBI's taxonomy places the organism in Eukaryota, Metazoa, Arthropoda, Insecta, Diptera, Sciaridae.
GCACUGUUUAAUGUAAUCCUAAAGUAUUUUUUCAAUCAAAAGUGCUUAGAGCAAUAGAAAAAUAAGUUAUUUGUGUGAUCGUAAAGCGUGUCCAUUAAUUUGCGGCAUCGUUUGAGCCGAAAAUUAGAAUUCAAUCGUUGAACGUAUUUUCGUGAACAACCCGAAUUUUGGAAUUCUUAAGUUCAAUGACGAUAUACAAGUUGACACGCUGAACGAAUUAAGAUAAUUUUACUGUUUUACUGUAGUCGAGAGACUG